Struthio camelus australis is the source of this 913-nucleotide non-coding RNA. NCBI's taxonomy places the organism in Eukaryota, Metazoa, Chordata, Aves, Struthioniformes, Struthionidae. The record is from RefSeq and is a predicted model, not a curated record.
AGCAGAAAGGCACCGUGGAUCUCUUCUCAAUUUUCUUUUGCCUUUUGGGAAGGGCUGUCUCAUCCUGUGCUGAGAUUAGGAACAGCAAUCAGAUGAAGAAAGGGAUAUCGCAGACAUGCUUAUGUCUUCUGCCCCUUGUGCUUUUGGUGUACACCUCCAAGAAGGGUCUGGCUCUGCUUUCGCUCUAACCUCCUGGUUUGCCAUUGACUUCACUGGAAGCACAAUCCAACCCUCAGCAGGGAGAAGUGCUGCUUUUUAACACUUGGAAAGAAAGAAAGAACAACUUCCAACCUAAUUCAGUUAUCCUGCUUGCAUAUUCCCCCGGUAUCCUCUGUGGACACGUACAUCUCUCAUGUGGUUUGGUCAUAAAAUUUCAAGUCAAUCGAGUUUCUGAAGGAAGAGAAUUCCACAUUAAGAACACAAGUCUUUCUCUUUGCCCAAGAAAGGCUUUUAAUGCUUGUGUAUUGUCGACUAUAAAAUAUGGAGCAAAAGAGGAGGAACAUUUAAUAUACUGGAGCUGAAACUAAAACCUGGACAAUGAAGCAUGAAAUGAAGUAUGCUUGAUAUCACAGAGAAACAGAAUUAACAAAUAGGUAAGACAGAGAAAGUAUGUUAAAGAACAAUCUUUAUGAAUAGAAGGACACUAGGGUGAUUGUAUCUUGAAGAGGACAAAAUUAAAGAUGGAAAGCAUUUAUGAAGAAACAGGUUACAGCACGUAUAAUCAUCAGAACCCAAAGGUGUAUCAAAAAAAAUCUCUUCUGUCCUCUGACAUAUUUCAAAAGUGAUACAUGACUGGAAUGCAUGAAGAUUAUUGAGUGCUUUAGAGAUGUAGGAAUUUAAAGUAUUAUAAACCAAUUACAAAUUACAUUCAUUAUGCUGUACUGUUUGAUAGCAUCACAUACCUGCAACUUUU